AUUGAACGCUGGCGGCAGGCCUAACACAUGCAAGUCGAGCGGAUGAAGGGAGCUAGCUCCUGGAUUCAGCGGCGGACGGGUGAGUAAUGCCUAGGAAUCUGCCUGGUAGUGGGGGAUAACGUCCGGAAACGGGCGCUAAUACCGCAUACGUCCUGAGGGAGAAAGUGGGGGAUCUUCGGACCUCACGCUAUCAGAUGAGCCUAGGUCGGAUUAGCUAGUUGGUGGGUAAAGGCCUACCAAGGCGACGAUCCGUAACUGGUCUGAGAGGAUGAUCAGUCACACGGAAAAGGAGACACGUUCCAAAACCCUGCGGGAGACACGGGUGGGGAAUAUUGGGGAGGGGGCGAAAGCCUGUCCCAGCCAAGCCGCGUGUGUGAAAAAGGUCCUCGGAUUGUAAAGCACUUAAAGUUGGGGGGAGGGAAAAUAAUUUAAACCCUUGCUUUUUUAACUUUACCAACAAAAAAAGCCCCGGCUAAUUGCGG
Molecule: ribosomal RNA, 482 nt
Filed under: uncultured bacterium
Lineage: Bacteria
Description: partial 16S ribosomal RNA
Rfam family: Bacterial small subunit ribosomal RNA
Source: RNAcentral